RNAcentral lists this long non-coding RNA (875 nucleotides) under Oncorhynchus kisutch (coho salmon). RNAcentral's name for it is "lncRNA (ENSOKIG00005002122.1)". The record is from RNAcentral. Lineage: Eukaryota; Metazoa; Chordata; Actinopteri; Salmoniformes; Salmonidae.
AAAUUAUCCAGUCAUAUAAAUGUAUUGAAAUAAUACAAAUAAAUUCAAAUAAUUGAGGGUUGUCAUCUACAGGUAAAUAGAAAAAGACAGUAGUCAUGAGCAAAGCUAGCACUCAGGCAAGGCUCAGAAUUAUUUGACUGUUUGCCUGUGUUGCCAGUAGUUUACUCGUUGAAGGUGAAGAAGCUAACGUUAACUGUCAAUUUGGAAGCGACCAUCAUGACUCCAACCGUUGGUCAUCCGGGCCGGUUUCUGAAGUGACCCCGGAGUUAUCAAGUCUCCCCAACAGCAACCUUUUCCUGGCUGCUAUUUCCUCCACCGUCACUUCAAGCUCUCGCUUGCUGAAGUUUGUAUUGCGCUUGCCUUUGUUAUCCAUUUUUGUUUUUGAUAUAGCUCGUCUGAUGGGUAUAAUGUGUAAAACACAACGUUUGUUUUUGUGUAUAAAGGCUUUGCGAGCCAACAGAAAGUAAUAUUCGAGACAUAAAGCAGAUAAAUAAAUGUAAUGAAAUGGAAAUGCUUUAUUAUAGUGGGCCAAAUUCUAUACUCCCUGUCAUAUAGGCUUAUUUAUUGGUUUCAAGCAUGUCACUAAUAUUUACAAAGUUCUUAGGAAUUAUAUUUUCAAAGUAGACAAACAGCUGUCUUACAAACUCAUCUUUUCCCCUGCUUGCAGCCUCAACCGUCCACCAAAGUCUGUUCUCCUGAGCUGCCCUGUGAUCUGCCAUUCCAAAAUACAGUGAGCAGUUACCUGCAAAUAAUUGUAUCAAUCCACACUGUCUUGUCUUUGGAUCUCUUAACCUGUCCCAGGUAGUAUAAUCAAGUCUACCCAACUGAUUUACAGAAUGAAAUAUUUUUGUUUGUUUUUGUAUUCUAUAUGUAAC